Potamilus streckersoni is the source of this 82-nucleotide non-coding RNA. The record is from the annotation of a GenBank genome assembly. NCBI's taxonomy places the organism in Eukaryota, Metazoa, Mollusca, Bivalvia, Unionida, Unionidae.
GCUCCGGUGGCCUAUUGGUUAGAUUGGUUAGAGCGUCCGCCUCGGAUGCGGGAGGUCGUGGGUUCGAUCCCCGGUCGAGUCA